CGACGAGCGGCGGCAAGCCGGAGCAGGAAGCGGCCGCGGAAGCAUCGUAAUCUGACUGUCAUAUGAUACAACAGAAUUUAUUGUCCAUAGAAGACCACUAUGUGCUGUGAAAACUAAGUUUGUUGUACUAAAAAGUUCGAUUAUUGAUCUGUGUGAGGACAUCAAUUUUCUGCUAUUUUUAAAGCGAAGGCUUAACGCACACCAAUGCACGCAUCUCAAACAAUGGUGACUGAACUGUUAUACGGAACUAAUGCGGCGGCAAACAAACAUGAAAAGAUGUCAG
Molecule: non-coding RNA, 283 nt
Organism: Linepithema humile (Argentine ant)
Lineage: Eukaryota; Metazoa; Arthropoda; Insecta; Hymenoptera; Formicidae
Source: RefSeq, a predicted model, not a curated record